RNAcentral lists this small nuclear RNA (303 nucleotides) under Neogale vison (American mink). RNAcentral describes it as "Neovison vison (American mink) 7SK RNA (ENSNVIG00000004522.1)". It matches the Rfam family "7SK RNA". From Rfam's summary of the family: 7SK was discovered as an abundant small nuclear RNA in the mid-70s but a possible function has only recently been suggested. Two independent studies have found that 7SK RNA binds the CDK9/cyclin T complex (known as elongation factor P-TEFb). The record is from RNAcentral. Lineage: Eukaryota; Metazoa; Chordata; Mammalia; Carnivora; Mustelidae.
AGGGCAAUCUUGCUGUGACAUCUGUCAUCCCAUUGGUCACCAGGGUUGAUUAGGCUGAUCUGGUUAGCUAGGGGUUGUCCCUUCCUCCCUAACCCCUUCAUGUGCAUGUCUCCUAAAACUGAAGGGUCUGCCCCCUUGUGGGGGGACUGUUCCUGGGUCAACAGUAUAGGAGUAGUUGCUCCCCUGCUAAAACCUCCAAACAAACUCUCAAGGUCCAUUUGUAGAAGAACAUAGGGUAAUCCAGCUUCCAAGACUCUAGACACAACCAAAUAAGGUGCUGCAUAUGGCAGUCUGCCUUUCUUU